AGUGAACGCUGGCGGUAGGCCUAACACAUGCAAGUCGAACGGCAGCACAGUAAGAGCUUGCUCUUACGGGUGGCGGGUGGCGGGCGUGUGAGGAGUAUAACGGACUCUACUCUUUCGUGGGGGAUAACGUAGGGAAACUUACGCUAAUACAGCAUACGCCCUACGGGUGAAAGCAGGGGAACUUCGGACCUUGCGCGAUUGAAUGAGCCGAUGUCGGGUUAGCUAGUUGGCGGGGUAAAGGCCCACCAAGGCGACGAUCCGUAGCUGGUCUGAGAGGAUGAUCACCCACAUUGGAAGUGAGACACGGUCCAGACUACUACGGGAGGGAGCAGAGGGGAAUAUUGGGCAGUGGGCGCAAGCCUGAUCCAGCCGUACCGCGUGGGUGAAGAAGGCCUUCGGGUUGUAAAGCCCUUUUGUUGGGAGAGAAAAGCAGCAGGUUAAUACCACGCUGUUCUGACGGUACCCAGAGAAUAAGCACCGGCUAACUUCGUG
This 492-nucleotide ribosomal RNA is filed under the name uncultured bacterium. RNAcentral's name for it is "partial 16S ribosomal RNA". It matches the Rfam family "Bacterial small subunit ribosomal RNA", at positions 29 to 507 of the family's 1533-position model. The record is from RNAcentral.